UGUAAAAGAGAUCAUUAGGAAAGAAAAAAACAAAAAGGACAAUUAAAACAUCUCAAGAAGAACCCAACUAUUGAAAGAGACUGCUUAUCAAAGGAAUGAUAAGACACGGAGAUAAACCCUUGUAAAUAGCCAGUCUAAAUUACUCCCACAUUCACACGGAACUUUUUUUUUUUGCAGACAUCUUCUUUGCCAAUUUUACAAAAAAAAAAAAAAAAAUCUCAUACUGCUUACUGUUUUGAAGAGCUAAAACAUAUUACCAAUGAAAAUAUAUUGGUGGGUUCUAAGCAAUCAGUUUUGAAUAAUGUUAUUGUCUUUAGAACUAAACUGAAAAAAAAAAAGCUGAAAUAAUCAAUAUUAGAGAAAUCUAAAACUAUUUAUAUUAGAGACUAUUUUAAAGUUGCACACAUUAAAUAAUUAAGAACUAGCUAUGCUAUAAAACCUGUCCUCUUUCUCUGGGUAAAUUCAUUUUAUUUUAGAUGGUAAGCUGAUAAGGCUGACUACUACUAUAUAAAUUCCACUCAAAACCUGACAUGUCCUUCCAAACCCCAAAUAUCUUCACUUUGUACACAAACACAUGGAACAAAUAAAUGCUUCUGUAAGACACUCACUAUCGCUUAUAUGCCUCACUUUUCUAGCAUGGUUAAGCUUAUCACGAAUCCUGAAGAUGCAAAAUAAUGAAGCAAAGAAGAUGAAAAAACCAGCAAUGAUUAGGAACUCUCCCAGACUGAGAAACCCUCAAGGACAGAAGCUGUCAGCUGAGCCUUUGUGGUCCUUCCUGAACCCCAUUCAACUCUGGGCCAGGAGCCUUCAGUCCACGUUUGAUGGAUGACACUUUCCAUGGCACCAGAAGUGCCUAAAGUUUAAACUACGGAAGGAGCAGUGCAUUACAUUUACAGGUGGGUCCCUGGUGGAAUCACUCACCCACUGACUUUUCCAAACACUUCUACCACCAUCCCUGUCUAACCAGAACCAAUGUCCAUAUGGCCACGUGCUCAGAGGACUCUUUCAGGUGCAGACCUGGAGUAUAAUGUUUUAUGCAAACAUUACUUGCUUCUGUUCAUGGUAUCUCAAAGCCACUGUUCUGAGAAAUGGAAACUGUCCAAAGCUCUUCUGCAGAGCCAUGGAGUGGAAUGCAAACUUUUCAUGUUCAUUAUGCCUCUCCCCUUCCCAGCGCCCCUUUCCUGCCCCAGACCACAAUGCAGGAGGUCGGGAGGGAUGGAGUCAAAAAUCUGUCCUUGUACAAGAAACUAGCAUGACUCUGGUGAAGUUGGUUCACACCUUGAAAAAUGCUCUCCAGGUAACAUUAUAACGAAAAGAAUGAUAAAUCCACUCCAGUAGGAGAUCUCCAAAAACAGCCAAUCCCAUAGUUUUUAAAUACAGUUAGAAACAUUUUUUUUGCUGCCGAAGUCUGCAGAACCUGAAAGAUGCCAGUGUCUGCUAGGACUCUCCAAGAACCCCAUCAACUUCUGCUGAGCAGAACUGCCCAGACACUGGCCUGAGAAAUAGUGAAAGGACCGUAACAAGAAUUCUACAAAACCAACAUUUCCUGUGCCAUAUGUUAGCUUCGAUUCUUCAAGCAGUUAAAGAUCUAAGUCUGAUUUAAGGGUUAAAGAUAAGUACACUGGGCAAAUAGUUAAGUAUUUAAUCAUUACUCUUUAGGUAGCAAUUUAGAAGUCUACUUCUUAAAACUCCUAUAUAUUAGUAUAAAUUUGAAUUUUUCACCUGUAUGUAAAUUCAAGAAAACAGUAAAACUACUCAAUGUAACUAGGCAAAAUAAAUAAAUAACCCUACAAAAUGUGAGGGUUAUUUUAUUUUGGUUAGUACUGUUACAUCAAUAAAUAAACUUCACUAAACAAGGGUACUAUAGGACCAAGAAAAAUGUCUUAUUUUAAUAGCCUCAUUUAGCCUUAGUCACUGUUGAUGGAUGACCGAAGCACCCUUGAAAUUAGGCAGAGACAGGAAUUUUCCCCUUUAUUCCAUUUCUAUAAUACUAAACAAACAAACAAACAAACAAACAAAAAACCCUUUAUAUUCUCUAUCUUCUUCAGUAUCUUCUAUUUCACCUGUAUCUUUCCAUACUGGUCCAUUACCUUGACUAAAAAAAUAGUAUCUGUGUAAUUUUCUGUAAUUUUUUUCUCCCCCGUAGCUUAUUGUCACUUUGAUCUCAUCUUUCAAGACAUCAACUUCUCUCUAAAAGAAACAUAAAUGGCUGAUCAAAGUGUAUUAGCAAAGGCCAAGCUCAGGUAGGUGAAGCAGUAGCCUCUUCAGAGUAGCCUCUUCAGAUAUUAUAUCUGACAAUACAAUAUUUGGCUUAAAAUUAAAUUGCUGCUGGAGCAAAACAAAGGAUAUAUCUUACAUGAAGCUUUGAUGUCUAACAGGGAUCAAAUGACAAGAUUUGUUAGCACAAAAUAAUAAGAUGCAUGUGCAGACAAGUAGUUUUUUGACAUCAUAAACAAUAUUCAACUUAGGAGUUAAGUAGGACCACAGGUGUUUUUUUGGGAAAACACACACACACACACACACACACACACACACACACACAAAAGAAACAAAACAAACAAACAAAACAAACUUCUCAUACUUAAAAAUCUUUAAAAUGAUAAAUGUUGUUACAAUGAAAUGAAAAUAUAAUGGAGUAUCCAAGAACCAUACUCAAAAGCUAUAUUCAGAGAUGAAACCUCUCCAGACAUUAUAUUUUAUGAAAGAAAAUUGGUUGAUUAAUGGAAUCCAGAAGGUUCAAAAUAUAAUUAUAAACAAUUAGAAUCAGAAUAGUUUUACCCCAGGAUCCCCAAGUCCCCCUGAAAUAUCUGUUUCUGCAGCUUUUCCCUAUCACUGGAACCUAGUCAAAUUUUUAACACGUUCGCUGCAUGCAAAGAGCAGGAUUAAUUUAAUAAGGCAUAUCAGAGCAAAAUAUGGGCAUUAUAAUAUUUUAUUUUCUUAUAAGAAAUAUUAUAGGUUUGUUUUUUUGUUUUUGCAACAAAAUUUUUAUUAUUUCUGCCAAGAGCUAACAAUAAUUUUUGCAUUUAAAGUGACCUUAAAAAAAGGUUCUUUGUAAAAAGCAGAAUAUGUGAAAUUGACUUACAUGUGGUCCAAAUAACAUGACAGAUUUCAAACUUGCAAAAUUUACCUGAACAGUUAUAUUUAGCUUGAAUAACAAGUAUGAAAACAUGUGUUGCUUUCAUGAAAUUCAAAGUUUAGAUGGCUGCCUAACUUUGUGAAUUCAUGUCCUGUAAACUUAAAAUCUAGUAUAAAUUUUAUUUCAGGGUUUACUUUAUAUUCUAUUUAUUGUAGAAAUGUUAAUUUAUCUUGGUUUUACAUACGAAAAUGCUUUUUUGUGUCUUUCAUGAUUAGCUUAACCUAUUUUCUUGAGUUUUCUUACCAGCCUUAAGGUGUUUUGUUUUUUUUUUUUAGUUUCUUUUUAAUUUAUUUAUUAUAUAGUACAAUUAGAAUCAGAAUAGUUUGGUUUAUUGGGUUGUUGGGAUUUUUUUCCUCUGUAAAAAUGUAAAAUUCUUCAUGAAUUUCACAAUUCUAUUGAGUCUUUUACAGUAUCAUUUUUUUGUGUGAAAAGUUAUUUUAAAAAUAUUAAAUUGUCUUGCCUUGUUCCUAUGAUGUUGUUUUAAAUAUAAAAAUUACAUCUUUUAAUGUUUUUCAAGAAUAUAUUUAAAAGACUAAAAUAAAAUAGAUAAAACCCCACAAAGCUUAAAUUUAAAAUCAUAUUAAAUAGGAGCAUGGCUCUUACGAGAAUUUUACAGGGAAAUCAGUUCAUACACAAGCAAACCAAACCAGACUAACAGAGAGGGCAUCCUCCACGGACGUUACUGUGAGGUUUAGGAGCUGACAUGCGUUUACAGAAGUGAGGUUUCCGGUGCUGUUGUUUCAAACCUCCAAACCUGAAGACACAGACACUCCCAUAUACAAAUUCCCUCCGUUUUGAUUAAAAGCUAAAAUGUACCUGCUGUUUUUCUCUCCUCUGUUGUGGAAAACAGAGUGAAAACAGUCAUACAACAAACCCACAUUUCUUUAUUGUUUAAUGCAUUCUGAUGUCACUUGGGCAAAGAUGUCAAAAGCUAGUGAGCGCUGAUUAUUUUCCCAUCUCCCUCGCCACUUUUUUUUUAACUCUAAAACAGGCCAGAUUUCUCAAAAAUGUGUUCACUGGUUUGAAACCAUGUAUGUCAAGUUUCAGCCCAGAGCAAAUUUUUAUGGCUGAGUAAUAAAUCCCUACAACUCAAGGUUCAUAAUGGAAGUGCUGACACAGCCCUAACUACCAUGCAGCCAUGUGAAUGGCGCCACGAUUAUAUCUGCUAGAGAUUCUCUCAAAAGUUUGCAAAGUACUGUCUUGCUUUGGAAAAAAAAAAAAAUGCCAUUGAUGCCAUCAUAAGCAUGCUUUUAACCCAUUAUGUGCUAAUUUGCAGAAAAGCCAUUAACAGAG
Pipistrellus kuhlii (Kuhl's pipistrelle) is the source of this 4429-nucleotide long non-coding RNA. RefSeq lists it as uncharacterized. NCBI's taxonomy places the organism in Eukaryota, Metazoa, Chordata, Mammalia, Chiroptera, Vespertilionidae. The transcript has 2 exons. The record is from RefSeq and is a predicted model, not a curated record.